GUCAAUCAGCUGCAUGUCCCUGCUCCUCUGGCUGCUGUUGUCCCUGUGGUUGGCGUACUUGUCAGAUCACGACAAAUUUUGCACUACAGGCCAGUUGACAGCGUGCAAUAACCCGGCCGAUUCAUUCAUCUUUACACUACCUCACACUCGACUCAACGGUCAGGUUUUUUUUGUUCUCCCGCGAUCAGCCCUGAUCAGCGCGAGAUGGCGAGCCACCCGACCACCGCUACGUUGCGGUAGGAAUUGUGAACCUAUGGACUGAAUCACAAAUUGUUAACACAUGACCUAUCACAGGUCCAUGGAACUAAACUAAAUCACAUACUGGACUACACCUCAUCCCACCUCCUUUUGGAACCUACUAAGCUGUUUUGUAUUGUCAAC
Astatotilapia calliptera (eastern happy) is the source of this 381-nucleotide long non-coding RNA. Lineage: Eukaryota; Metazoa; Chordata; Actinopteri; Cichliformes; Cichlidae. The record is from Ensembl.